RNAcentral lists this ribosomal RNA (497 nucleotides) under uncultured bacterium. RNAcentral describes it as "partial 16S ribosomal RNA". It matches the Rfam family "Bacterial small subunit ribosomal RNA", at positions 28 to 507 of the family's 1533-position model. The record is from RNAcentral.
GAUGAACGCUGGCGGCGUGCCUAAUACAUGCAAGUCGAGCGAACGGACGAGACGCUUGCUUCUCUGAUGUUAGCGGCGGACGGGUGAGUAACACGUGGAUAACCUACCUAUAAGACUGGGAUAACUUCGGGAAACCGGAGCUAAUACCGGAUGAUAUUUUGAACCGCAUGGUUCAAAAGUGAAAGACGGUCUUGCUGUCACUUAUAGAUGGAUCCGCGCUGCAUUAGCUAGUUGGUAAGGUAACGGCUUACCAAGGCAACGAUGCAUAGCCGACCUGAGAGGGUGAUCGGCCACACUGGAACUGAGACACGGUCCAGACUCCUACGGGAGGCAGCAGUAGGGAAUCUUCCGCAAUGGGCGAAAGCCUGACGGAGCAACGCCGCGUGAGUGAUGAAGGUCUUCGGAUCGUAAAACUCUGUUAGUGGGGAAGAACAUAUUUGUAAGUAACUGUGCACAUCUUGACGGUACCUAAUCAGAAAGCCACGGCUAACUACGUG